This 883-nucleotide ribosomal RNA is filed under the name uncultured bacterium. RNAcentral describes it as "bacterial SSU rRNA". It matches the Rfam family "Bacterial small subunit ribosomal RNA", at positions 593 to 1501 of the family's 1533-position model. The record is from RNAcentral.
AGAGUUUGAUCAUGGCUCAACCGUGGAACUGCGGGGUGAACUUCCGGUCUUGAGACAGGUAGGGGCCGACGGAACUAUCGGUGGAGCGGUGAAAUGCGUAGAUAUCGAUGGGAACGCCAAUGGCGAAGGCAGUCGGCUGGGCCUGUUCUGACGCUCAGGCACGAAAGCGUGGGGAGCAAACAGGAUUAGAUACCCUGGUAGUCCACGCCGUAAACGAUGUGCACUAGAUCGGAGGGGUGUUCACGCCUUUCCGGUCGAAGGGAAACCGUUAAGUGCACCGCCUGGGGAGUACGGUCGCAAGGCUAAAACUCAAAGGAAUAGACGGGGGCUCGCACAAGCGGUGGAGCGCGUGGCUUAAUUCGUAGAUAAGCGAAAAACCUUACCGGGGUUUGAAACCAAACUGCACGACUAGGGAAACCUAGUUUCUUUCGAAGGUGUUUGGCAGGUGAUGCAUGGCUGUCGUCAGUUCGUGGUUUGAAUUGUUCCCUUAAGUGGGGUAACGAACGCAACCCUCGUUGUCUGUUAUAUUUGUCAGACGAUACUGCCCCCUCACGGGGGAGGAAGGUGAGGAUGACGCCAAGUCAGCAUGUCCCUUUGAUAUCCCGGGCUGCACACGCGCUACAAUGGUUACUACAGCGGGGCGCGAUCUCGUAAGAGUCAGCAAAUCCUAUAAAAGUAACCUCAGUUCGGAUUGUGGUCUGCAACUCGACCACAUGAAGUUGGAAUCGCUAGUAAUCGUGGAUCAGCUACGCCACGGUGAAUACGUUCUCGAGCCUUGUACUCACCGCCCGUCAAGUCAGGGAAGCUGGGAGUACCCGACGUUCGUCUUUAUGGCGACCUAAGGUAAAUUCAGUGACAAGGACUAAGUCGUAACAAGGUAACC